RNAcentral lists this ribosomal RNA (253 nucleotides) under uncultured bacterium. RNAcentral describes it as "partial 16S ribosomal RNA". It matches the Rfam family "Bacterial small subunit ribosomal RNA", at positions 524 to 776 of the family's 1533-position model. The record is from RNAcentral.
UACGUAGGGACCAAGCGUUGUUCGGAUUUACUGGGCGUAAAGCGCGCGUAGGCGGCUGCCUAAGUCGGGUGUGAAAGCCCCGGGCUCAACCUGGGAACUGCACUCGAUACUGGGCGGCUAGAGUAUGAGAGAGGGAGGUAGAAUUCCACGUGUAGCGGUGAAAUGCGUAGAUAUGUGGAGGAAUACCGGUGGCGAAGGCGGCCUCCUGGUUCAAUACUGACGCUGAGGUGCGAAAGCGUGGGGAGCAAACAGG